RNAcentral lists this long non-coding RNA (202 nucleotides) under Elaeis guineensis (African oil palm). Its description in RNAcentral is "long non-coding RNA (EGUI_LNC039280)". Lineage: Eukaryota; Viridiplantae; Streptophyta; Magnoliopsida; Arecales; Arecaceae. The record is from RNAcentral.
UAAAUUGUAGUCGGCUUGUACCGAGCUGAAACUACACAGCAGACUGUCAAAUCUCAAGAGUCCUAAAUAUAGAAGAAGUAUGAAAUCAAUCAGCUCUGGAAAGAUCGUGAUAGUUGCGCUAAAGAGUUGGAGGAAAAAAGAAAAAAAUAUCGGGCCACCGAAUCAAGAUUGGCACUGGCCGAUGUAGAGUCGGUCUCCACUA